Molecule: long non-coding RNA, 226 nt
Filed under: Ricinus communis (castor bean)
Lineage: Eukaryota; Viridiplantae; Streptophyta; Magnoliopsida; Malpighiales; Euphorbiaceae
Description: long non-coding RNA (RCOM_LNC000290)
Source: RNAcentral
UCUCUCUUCCUCCAUCUCUCCCCCUCCCGUGGCCAUCCUCCUACUCCCUCUCUCCCCCUCCCACUUCCUCUCUCCCUUCCUCAGCACUGUCGCCCCUGCCGUCGUUGUCACCUAGGUAGGUUUCUUUCCUUCUCUUUUCCUACAUUUUGAAAUAUUUUUUAAUCUUCUUGUCCGACGUCGCUGUCCGAGCUCCGCCACCCUCAGCGUCCUCUCCCCUCUCUCUACG